UUCCGCUUUACUCCUCGGUCUUCUCAGCGGCGACUUCACCAACAGCCACAACUUCCUCUGCCUCAGCCUUCUUCUCCUCCUCCACAACCGCCGGAGUUUCAGUCACCUCCUCCUUCUCUUCUGUUUUUGCCUCCUCCACAACGACCGGAGUUUCUGUCUUGUCUUCUUCCUCCUCUACCUUUGGCUCCUCUGGUUUCUUCUCAGUUUCUUCAUCUUUUUUCUCUGCCUCUUCCACAACCACUUCCUUGCUCG
This 252-nucleotide long non-coding RNA is filed under the name Brassica napus (rape). RNAcentral's name for it is "long non-coding RNA (BNAP_LNC015489)". The record is from RNAcentral. Lineage: Eukaryota; Viridiplantae; Streptophyta; Magnoliopsida; Brassicales; Brassicaceae.